ACUGGAGUGGGUAGCCUUUCCCUUCUCCAGGGGAUCUUCCCAGCCCAGGGAUCAAACCCAGGUCUCUCGCAUUGCAGCCAGAUUCUUUACCUGCUGAGCCACAAGAGAGGCCCAAGAAUACUGGACAUUUGACAGUGAGCAUGGGGAUUCCAGUGCAGAGGAAACCAUUUCUGCUUAAUGACCCUGGCUGCAGUGAAGAUGAAAUAGAUGUGGCUUCCUCCCUCCAUCCCUUAUCCUGGCCUCAUCAGAAUCACAGCUUCUUAAGGUCAGAGAUGCCAAAGGAUGAACCCCUUCGAGUGAAAUUGCUAAGCAAAGGGCAGGCACUUUGUGAAGAUGUGUGAUGCAUAUUUCCAGUUGCUCUACAGAGAAGCUGUACCACUGUACACCAGCAAAAAAUGGGAGGGCCUUUCCUUGUGAAUCCUCACUAAUACUGCCACCUUAAAAAAACCUCAAAACAGAUCCAAACACUGUAAA
Long non-coding RNA from Bos taurus (domestic cattle), 474 nucleotides. The record is from Ensembl. NCBI's taxonomy places the organism in Eukaryota, Metazoa, Chordata, Mammalia, Artiodactyla, Bovidae.